UGUUGUUGGUUUUCCUGAUUAUAAUGACAAUCAUGCAUGCGGGGUUGUGAUGCUUAUGGCGAUCCGGGAGACUGCUAAUGCUUUCAAAAAGUCAAUGCAUGUGGGGGAGAUAGGCGCUGCCCGGAAGGCUCUGUUCUUGUCCCAUUUGAAUUCAGACUACAACUCUUGCCGUCCAUUGAUACCGGAGAUAAUUGCUACCCAUUGCCGUUGAUUUAUAAUAGUCUAGUGUCAUGAACUUAUGUUUAUUUUAGUUCGAGUGUUUAAUCAUCAACUUUGUUUAUCGGUUGCGUAUGAACUAUACCGUGCUUUUGUUGUUUGGUGACCAAUACUUCCCUUACAUUAUGCAUUUUGGUUAAAGGGGAUGGAAUAUUUUGUAGUUUUGGCACCAAUAUAUGUGUGUAAUAUUUUAACGACAUUGUUCUAUAUUGCAAUGUCGUCAA
Molecule: long non-coding RNA, 440 nt
Organism: Spinacia oleracea (spinach)
Lineage: Eukaryota; Viridiplantae; Streptophyta; Magnoliopsida; Caryophyllales; Amaranthaceae
Exons: 3
Source: RefSeq, a predicted model, not a curated record